Molecule: small nuclear RNA, 78 nt
Filed under: Rhodnius prolixus
Lineage: Eukaryota; Metazoa; Arthropoda; Insecta; Hemiptera; Reduviidae
Description: U4 spliceosomal RNA
Rfam family: U4 spliceosomal RNA
About the family: U4 small nuclear RNA (U4 snRNA) is a component of the major U2-dependent spliceosome. The structure of U4 snRNA from yeast and human has been reported.
Source: Rfam by way of RNAcentral
CACCUUGCGCAGUGGCAAUAUCGUAACCUGUGAAGGUCUCCUGAGGUGCGAUUAUUGCUAGUUAAAAACUUUUAUCAG